AAAUAUAUAUAUUAUAUAACUAUACAAAUAAAUUUAGUUUUUAUCAAAACAAAUUUACGCAAUCAGAUGUUAAACAAAUAUCAAAAUAAUAAACAAUCACGUCACGGUAAAACAUUAAACGAACAGGUUCUUUAUAAUGAUUUAUGGUAUAUAACAGAGAAACAUAAGUUAACGAUGAAUCAAUUAUGCAGACGUAUAUAAAGUGAGAACGGUAUCAUC
Molecule: long non-coding RNA, 219 nt
Filed under: Arabidopsis lyrata
Lineage: Eukaryota; Viridiplantae; Streptophyta; Magnoliopsida; Brassicales; Brassicaceae
Description: long non-coding RNA (ALYR_LNC001610)
Source: RNAcentral